Molecule: transfer RNA, 77 nt
Filed under: Salmonella enterica subsp. enterica serovar Infantis
Lineage: Bacteria; Pseudomonadati; Pseudomonadota; Gammaproteobacteria; Enterobacterales; Enterobacteriaceae
Also listed under: 21 other names
Description: tRNA-OTHER
Source: RNAcentral
CCGCCACUAGCUCAGCAGGACAGAGCAAAUAACCCCGAGGUUGUAGGUGCGAGGUUCGAGGCCUCGGUGGCGGACCA